CUAAAAAGUUCUGGGACACUGUGAAGUCCAUGGAGAACAAGAGCACCUCCUCCCAGCUGCCCACUGCACUGAGGCUAGGUAACACGGUCACCACCGAUAAAUCCAUGAUUAUCGAAAACUUCAACAAGCAUUUCUCAACGGCUGGCCAUGCCUUCCGCCUGGCUACUCUAACCUCGGCCAACAGCUCCGCCCCCCGCAGCUAUUCGCCCAAGCCUCUCCAGGUUCUCCUUUACCCAAAUCCAGAUAGCAGAUGUUCUGAAAGAGCUGCAAAACCUGGACCCGUACAAAUCAGCUGGGCUUGACAAUCUGGACCCUCUAUUUCUGAAACUAUCCGCCGCCAUUGUCGCAACCCCUAUUACCAGCCUGUUCAACCUCUCUUUCAUAUCGUCUGAGAUCCCCAAGGAUUGGAAAGCUGCCGCAGUCAUCCUCCUCUUCAAAGGGGGAGACACCCUGGACCCAAACUGUUACAGACCUAUAUCCAUCCUGCCCUGCCUAUCUAAGGUCUUCGAAAGCCAAGUCAACAAACAGGUCACUGACCAUCUCGAAUCCCACCGUACCUUCUCCGCUGUGCAAUCUGGUUUCCGAGCCGGUCACGGGUGCACCUCAGCCACGCUCAAGGUACUAAACGAUAUCAUAACCGCAAUCGAUAAAAGACAGUACUGUGCAGCCGUCUUCAUCGACCUUGCCAAGGCUUUCGACUGUGUCAAUCACCAUAUUCUUAUCGGCAGACUCAGUAGCCUCGGUUUUUCUGAUGACUGCCGUGCCUGGUUCACCAACUACUUUGCAGACAGAGUUCAGUGUGUCAAAUCGGAGGGCAUGCUGUCCGGUCCUCUGGCAGUCUCUAUGGGGGUGCCACAGGGUUCAAUUCUCGGGCCAACUCUUUUCUCUGUAUAUAUCAAUGAUGUUGCUCUUGCUGCGGGCGAUUCCCUGAUCCACCUCUAAGCAGACGACACCAUUCUAUCUACUUCCGGCCCGUCCUUGGACACUGUGCUAUCUAACCUCUAAACGAGCUUCAAUGCCAUACAACACUCCUUCCGUGGCCUCCAACUGCUCUUAAACGCUAGUAAAACCAAAUGCAUGCUUU
This 1084-nucleotide long non-coding RNA is filed under the name Oncorhynchus kisutch (coho salmon). Its description in RNAcentral is "lncRNA (ENSOKIG00005025900.1)". The record is from RNAcentral. Lineage: Eukaryota; Metazoa; Chordata; Actinopteri; Salmoniformes; Salmonidae.